Molecule: ribosomal RNA, 424 nt
Filed under: uncultured Chroococcales cyanobacterium
Lineage: Bacteria; Bacillati; Cyanobacteriota; Cyanophyceae; Chroococcales
Description: bacterial SSU rRNA
Rfam family: Bacterial small subunit ribosomal RNA
Source: RNAcentral
UGGGGAAUUUUCCGCAAUGGGCGAAAGCCUGACGGAGCAACGCCGCGUGAGGGAUGAAGGCCUAUGGGCUGUAAACCUCUUUUAUCAAGGAAGAAGAUCUGACGGUACUUGAUGAAUAAGCCACGGCUAAUUCCGUGCCAGCAGCCGCGGUAAUACGGGAGUGGCAAGCGUUAUCCGGAAUUAUUGGGCGUAAAGCGUCCGCAGGCGGUCUUUUAAGUCUGUCGUCAAAGCGUGGAGCUUAACUCCAUUUGUGCGAUGGAAACUGGGAGACUAGAGUGUGGUAGGGGCAGAGGGAAUUCCCGGUGUAGCGGUGAAAUGCGUAGAUAUCGGGAAGAACACCAGUGGCGAAGGCGCUCUGCUGGGCCAUAACUGACGCUCAUGGACGAAAGCCAGGGGAGCGAAAGGGAUUAGAUACCCCUGUAGU